GACGAACGCUGGCGGCGUGCUUAACACAUGCAAGUCGAACGGAAAGGCCCUGCUUUUGUGGGGUGCUCGAGUGGCGAACGGGUGAGUAACACGUGAGUAACCUGCCCUUGACUUUGGGAUAACUUCAGGAAACUGGGGCUAAUACCGGAUAGGAGCUCCUGCUGCAUGGUGGGGGUUGGAAAGUUUCGGCGGUUGGGGAUGGACUCGCGGCUUAUCAGCUUGUUGGUGGGGUAGUGGCUUACCAAGGCUUUGACGGGUAGCCGGCCUGAGAGGGUGACCGGCCACAUUGGGACUGAGAUACGGCCCAGACUCCUACGGGAGGCAGCAGGGGGGAAUAUUGCACAAUGGGCGGAAGCCUGAUGCAGCAGCGCCGCGUGCGGGAUGACGGCCUUCGGGUUGUAAACCGCUUUCGCCUGUGACGAAGCGUGAGUGACGGUAAUGGGUAAAGAAGCACCGGCUAACUACGUG
This 468-nucleotide ribosomal RNA is filed under the name uncultured bacterium. Its description in RNAcentral is "partial 16S ribosomal RNA". It matches the Rfam family "Bacterial small subunit ribosomal RNA", at positions 28 to 507 of the family's 1533-position model. The record is from RNAcentral.